GCGACGAUCUGUAGCUGGUCUGAGAGGAUGAUCAGCCACACUGGGACUGAGACACGGCCCAGACUCCUACGGGAGGCAGCAGUGGGGAAUAUUGGACAAUGGGCGAAAGCCUGAUCCAGCCAUGCCGCGUGUGUGAAGAAGGCCUUUUGGUUGUAAAGCACUUUAAGUGGGGAGGAAAAGCUUAUGGUUAAUACCCAUAAGCCCUGACGUUACCCACAGAAUAAGCACCGGCUAACUCUGUGCCAGCAGCCGCGGUAAUACAGAGGGUGCAAGCGUUAAUCGGAAUUACUGGGCGUAAAGCGCGCGUAGGUGGUUAUUUAAGUCAGAUGUGAAAGCCCCGGGCUUAACCUGGGAACUGCAUCUGAUACUGGAUAACUAGAGUAGGUGAGAGGGGAGUAGAAUUCCAGGUGUAGCGGUGAAAUGCGUAGAGAUCUGGAGGAAUACCGAUGGCGAAGGCAGCUCCCUGGCAUCAUACUGACACUGAGGUGCGAAAGCGUGGGUAGCAAACAGGAUUAGAUACCCUGGUAGUCCACGCCGUAAACGAUGUCUACCAGUCGUUGGGUCUUUUAAAGACUUAGUGACGCAGUUAAC
Molecule: ribosomal RNA, 591 nt
Filed under: uncultured Moraxella sp.
Lineage: Bacteria; Pseudomonadati; Pseudomonadota; Gammaproteobacteria; Moraxellales; Moraxellaceae
Description: bacterial SSU rRNA
Rfam family: Bacterial small subunit ribosomal RNA
Source: RNAcentral